GACAGAGGAUGCAAGCGUUAUCCGGAAUGAUUGGGCGUAAAGCGUCUGUAGGUGGCUUUUCAAGUCCGCCGUCAAAUCCCAGGGCUCAACCCUGGACAGGCGGUGGAAACUACCAAGCUAGAGUAUGGUAGGGGCAGAGGGAAUUCCUGGUGUAGCGGUGAAAUGCGUAGAGAUCAGGAAGAACACCGAUGGCGAAGGCAGGUCUCUGGGCCGCAACUGACGCUGAGGAGCGAAAGCAUGGGGAGCGAACAGG
RNAcentral lists this ribosomal RNA (253 nucleotides) under uncultured bacterium. Its description in RNAcentral is "partial 16S ribosomal RNA". It matches the Rfam family "Bacterial small subunit ribosomal RNA", at positions 524 to 776 of the family's 1533-position model. The record is from RNAcentral.